Molecule: ribosomal RNA, 446 nt
Filed under: uncultured bacterium
Lineage: Bacteria
Description: partial 16S ribosomal RNA
Rfam family: Bacterial small subunit ribosomal RNA
Source: RNAcentral
CCUACGGGAGGCAGCAGUCGAGAAUCAUUCACAAUGGGGGAAACCCUGAUGGUGCGACGCCGCGUGGGGGAAUGAAGGUCUUCGGAUUGUAAACCCCUGUCAUGUGGGAGCAAAUUAAAAAGAUAGUACCACAAGAGGAAGAGACGGCUAACUCUGUGCCAGCAGCCGCGGUAAUACAGAGGUCUCAAGCGUUGUUCGGAAUCACUGGGCGUAAAGGGUGCGUAGGCGGUUUCGUAAGUCGUGUGUGAAAGGCGCGGGCUCAACCCGCGGACGGCACAUGAUACUGCGAGACUAGAGUAAUGGAGGGGUAGCCGGAAUUCUCGGUGUAGCAGUGAAAUGCGUAGAUAUCGGGAGGAACACUCGUGGCGAAGGCGGGUUCCUGGACAUUAACUGACGCUGAGGCACGAAGGCCAGGGGAGCGAAAGGGAUUAGAUACCCGUGUAGUC